Long non-coding RNA from Sinocyclocheilus grahami, 2261 nucleotides. The record is from Ensembl. NCBI's taxonomy places the organism in Eukaryota, Metazoa, Chordata, Actinopteri, Cypriniformes, Cyprinidae.
UUAUGGAUAAGGGCAUGAUGACGGGGCCGCGUGAGCCUCCUCUGCUGCCCCCCUCUGGUGAGGAGGAGGUUUUCUUCAAGAAUUACAUCCCACCUGCUCGAGAUGCCAUCCAUCUGCCCAUUCACGUCUUCUACAUCAUCCUCGCCUCCAUCAUCAUAGUGAUGACGCUCUACGCCAUCAUCGGCCACCUCAUCAAAGACCUGAUACACGACUUAGCCGACUAUCUGUUCGGCCAGCAGCCCGAGGAGGUGCGGCUCAAUCUGUGCGAGGCCAAGGACAAGUUCAUGGCCGACUGGUGUCCGGAGACCAGCCCGGAGCUGGAGGAGAUGGCCCGCGCCGAGGAGAGCCGGGUGGUGAUGGAGGGCAACAGAUACACCCCGGCCAUCUGGAUCAUCUCUGACGGCAUGGAGCCCAGACCGCCGCGCACCGGCCCGCGGGUCGUGUUUGGCAAGAACGUGUAGAGCAGGGGAUCCAGACCUGCAGAGUUGAGCUCAACUUGCCUUUGGAUGUUUCUAGGCAGUCUGAAGACCUUAAAGGGUUAGUUCUCCCAAAAAUGAAAAUUAGCCCAUAAAUUACCCCCCCCCCCCCCGAGGCAUCCUAGGUGUAUGUGACUUUCUUCUUUCAGACGAAUCCAGUCGGAGUUAUAUAAAAAAUUGUCUUUGAUCUUUCAAGCUGUUUCAUGGCACUCAGCAGGUGUUGCAUGCAUCAGUCCAAAAGAAGUUCCCUAAAAAGCGCCCAUCCACAAAACAAGUGUCUCACACGGCUCCGGGGGGUGAACACAGGCCUCCUGUAGCGAAUCGAUGCGUUUUUGUAAGAAAAAUAUCCAUAUUCAAAACGUAAUAAUCACUUUAAUCUAGCUUGCGCUCACUGUUGUACACAGAAGCAGUUCUGGGCGGAUGACGGAUGAGUUCAGCGCUGCGCAACAGCUUGAAAGAUCAAAGACAAUUUUUAAUAUAACUCCGACUGGAUUCGUCUGAAAGAAGAAAGUCACAUACACCUAGGAUGACUUGAGGGUGAGUAAUUUAUGGGCUAAUUUACAUUUUUGGGUGAACUAACCCUUUAAUAUGUCUUCAUAAGACGAGAGUAGAGCAGAAAUCAGCUUCCAGACUCACAGACAGAACUGCAGCACUCACUGAUAUUUCUGAUGGUUAUAUUGACUGAUGGUUUAUGCUCGGUUUACAGUGACUCUGCAUUAGUUGUGCUGUACGUGAAGACGCCUGCUGGAACUGCAUCAUUUGCACUAAAUCAGCAGACCCUCUUUUAGUUUGUCUGUCCUUUCUGAUGGCUGAGCUCAUCCCUUACGAAAAAUAACCAUGGUUUUAUUAAAGUAAAAGUGUAGUAACCAUGUUUUUUUUGGCGUAUUGAUUACCAUUUAUAUUACCACAGUUCUACAACAAAUACCAUGGUUAAACUACGGUUAGUGUACCAAAACCAUGGUUAAUUUGUGGUUACUGUGGUUUAACUAUAGUAACCAUGGUGUUUUGGUUUUAUUUGUAGAAAAGCUAUAGUUCAUUUUCGUAAGAGAUUGAGUCCUCAACUAAUGAGUUGAUGAUUUGAAUCAGGUGUUAUGCAAAAUGCACAGCUAUCUGACUCUCAUCCAUCAUUCUACACGAUUUAAACAAUAAAACAUACAUUUCAUUCAAAAAGGCCUUUUAUUUAAAUCAGUAUGUCUAUAAGCCGACACUACUUGAAGAGAACUGAACUGAGCUGGACGAUGACAUCCCUGAAUCAAUGAUGAACUGUUUCGCUCUCAGAUCAGAGCAUCCUGGAUCAUGAAGAGAUUCUGAUGCAAACGCAUCUUUCUUCCCAAUAUGAGUUAAAACUGUCAUCAUACACUCAUUAUUUCCAGAAGCAUUGUGUGAUAGUCAGCGAUGUAUGUAAUUGAUAUAUUUCAUUAUAUUUAAUAAAUGAAAUGAACAUUUAUUAAGAUAAAUGUUAAUACCUAUGUCAUAAAUUAAAAUGUUUCUCGUUCUGCUCAGUUAUUUCGGCGAGCAGAAGUUUGUGACCGCGGUCUCCAUAAACCUUAUAUUUAUAAAUCCAGACGGUCAGUAAAUGUAGACGAGAUUUCUAUUGUGCUCUUAAUGAAAGUCCCGUGAUGAGUGCGGAGAGACGCAUGCGCGUUACAGCCGAUGUUCUGCUGAUGCAGGUCAGAUGUUACCUGAAUGAGUCCAGAAGCAGCUUCACACGAGCCUGGGACUGUAGCACGGCCGAGCCGAGCAGUUCUUCAGGAUCUGUCUGUGAGGAAUAAGACGCGCUGACCG